This is a non-coding RNA of Thelonectria olida, 100 nucleotides long. The record is from the annotation of a GenBank genome assembly. NCBI's taxonomy places the organism in Eukaryota, Fungi, Ascomycota, Sordariomycetes, Hypocreales, Nectriaceae.
GCUUCCGUAGCUCAGUUGGUUAGAGCUUCGUACUAAUACUCGCCUCUUCGGCAGAGAAUUGGUAAUGCGAAGGUCCACGGUUCAAGCCCGUGCGGGAGCA